CACUUCUGAACAUGAGGUUCCCUGCUCAGCUCCUGGGGCUCCUCCUGCUCUGGGUCCCAGGAUCCAGUGGGGAUGUUGUUCUGACCCAGACUCCCCUCUCCCUGUCUGUCAUCCCUGGAGGGACGGUCUCUAUCUCCUGCAAGUCUUCGCAGAGUCUGAAAUAUAGUGAUGGAAAAACCUAUCUGCGUUGGUUUCAACAUAAACCAGGCCAGUCUCCACGGCAAUUGAUCUAUCAGGUUUCCAACCGUGACACUGGGGUCCCAGACAGGUUCACUGGCAGUGGGGCAGAGACAGAUUUCACACUUACAAUCAGCAGUGUGCAGGCUGAGGAUGCUGGAGUCUAUUACUGUUUUCAAGAUACAUAUGUUGAUUCCCCACAGUGA
Non-coding RNA from Budorcas taxicolor (takin), 383 nucleotides. Lineage: Eukaryota; Metazoa; Chordata; Mammalia; Artiodactyla; Bovidae. The record is from the annotation of a RefSeq genome assembly.